GAUAGGUAAGGUUUAUACAGUGUAUAAGUUUUACCGGGAAUAGAUAGGUAAGGUUUAUACAGUGUAUAAGUUUUACCGGGAAUAGAUAGAGAUAAGGUUUGUGGGAGAAAAAUGAGCCAAGCCCCAUCAGCGGGGGCUGUCUAUCCCACAAGCGAUUUCUUGGAGGCCGGGCUUGGUGGUUUCUGUGUUGGUUGAAUCCGAAUUGUUUUUCAUGAAUA
Aplysia californica (California sea hare) is the source of this 218-nucleotide long non-coding RNA. RefSeq lists it as uncharacterized. NCBI's taxonomy places the organism in Eukaryota, Metazoa, Mollusca, Gastropoda, Aplysiida, Aplysiidae. The record is from RefSeq and is a predicted model, not a curated record. The transcript is spliced from 2 exons.